CGAACUGCCGUUGACAAAACGGAGGAAGGUGGGGGAUGACGUCAAAUCAUCAUGCCCCUUAUGUUCUGGGCUACACACGUGCUACAAUGGCCGGUACAGACGGACGCAAAGCCGCGAGGUGGAGCAAAUCCUAAAAAGCCGGUCUCAGUUCGGAUUGCAGGCUGCAAUUCGCCUGCAUGAAGUCGGAAUCGCUAGUAAUCGCAGGUCAGCAUACUGCGGUCGAAUACGUUCCGGGCCUU
RNAcentral lists this ribosomal RNA (239 nucleotides) under uncultured Bacillus sp. RNAcentral's name for it is "partial 16S ribosomal RNA". It matches the Rfam family "Bacterial small subunit ribosomal RNA", at positions 1145 to 1382 of the family's 1533-position model. The record is from RNAcentral. Lineage: Bacteria; Bacillati; Bacillota; Bacilli; Caryophanales; Bacillaceae.